This is a long non-coding RNA of Trichomycterus rosablanca, 176 nucleotides long. RefSeq lists it as uncharacterized. Lineage: Eukaryota; Metazoa; Chordata; Actinopteri; Siluriformes; Trichomycteridae. The transcript has 3 exons. The record is from RefSeq and is a predicted model, not a curated record.
UCUGAAGGUAUCUACGUUCUGGCAGGAGAUCCAGCGAUACUGAAUCUGGCAUGUAAGAAGAAAUCUGAAGAUAUUUACGUCCUGGCAGGAGAUCCAGCGAUACUGAAUCUGGCUCAGAAGAACCAGACUGAAUUUUCCACAUUUCUACCAAACACACAACCACCCCAAGUUCCGGU